This 505-nucleotide ribosomal RNA is filed under the name uncultured Geobacter sp. RNAcentral's name for it is "bacterial SSU rRNA". It matches the Rfam family "Bacterial small subunit ribosomal RNA", at positions 8 to 490 of the family's 1533-position model. Lineage: Bacteria; Pseudomonadati; Thermodesulfobacteriota; Desulfuromonadia; Geobacterales; Geobacteraceae. The record is from RNAcentral.
AGAGUUUGAUCAUGGCUCAGAACGAACGCUGGCGGCGUGCCUAACACAUGCAAGUCGAACGAGAAAAGGGCUUCGGCUCCGAGUAAAGUGGCGCACGGGUGAGUAACACGUAGGUAACCUGCCUCUAAGAUUGGGAUAACCUGUCGAAAGACGAGCUAAUACCAAAUGAGACCACAGCUUCUUAGGAAGCAGGGGUCAAAGGUAGCCUCUAUUUAUAAGCUAUCACUUAGAGAUGGGCCUGCGUACCAUUAGCUAGUUGGUGAGGUAACGGCUCACCAAGGCAAAGAUGGUUAGCUGGUCUGAGAGGAUGAUCAGCCACACUGGAACUGAGACACGGUCCAGACUCCUACGGGAGGCAGCAGUGGGGAAUAUUGCGCAAUGGGCGAAAGCCUGACGCAGCAACGCCGCGUGAGUGAUGAAGGCCUUCGGGUCGUAAAGCUCUGUCGGAGGGAACGAAUGUUCCCAGGGUUAACAGCCCCGGGAAGUGACGGUACCCUCAAAGAAG